AAUUCUCAACCUUUGAAACAUUUUUUUCAAAAGCUUGGACUGUGGAGGCUUGCCGGCAUAUUACUUGUCAGCUCCUCUUAAAUGCAUUAGCGGGACCUUUUGUUUAGGACUUGGCUCCAGUUUGGUAAUUCUAUCUAUGCUGUUGCUGUUGACCUUUGUAUGUUCUGCUUCUAAUGGUCUUCGGACUGUCUCUUCUAUGAGGCAUACAACUUUUAA
RNAcentral lists this unclassified non-coding RNA (216 nucleotides) under Ramariopsis kunzei. RNAcentral's name for it is "partial internal transcribed spacer 2". The record is from RNAcentral. Lineage: Eukaryota; Fungi; Basidiomycota; Agaricomycetes; Agaricales; Clavariaceae.